This 220-nucleotide ribosomal RNA is filed under the name Myxococcales bacterium. RNAcentral's name for it is "partial 16S ribosomal RNA". It matches the Rfam family "Bacterial small subunit ribosomal RNA", at positions 1 to 223 of the family's 1533-position model. The record is from RNAcentral. Lineage: Bacteria; Pseudomonadati; Myxococcota; Myxococcia; Myxococcales.
CAACUGGAGAGUUUGAUCCUGGCUCAGAGCGAACGUUAGCGGCGGGCCUAACACAUGCAAGUCGAACGAGAAAACCUUCGGGUGAGUAAAGUGGCGCACGGGUGAGGAACGCGUAGGUAAUCUACCCUCUGGCGGGGGACAACACUCCGAAAGGAAUGCUAAUACCGCGUAAGACCACACUCCCUACGGAGAGAGUGGAAAAAGGUGGCCUCUUCUUGAA